GACGAACGCUGGCGGCGUGCUUAACACAUGCAAGUCGAACGGAAAGGCCCUGCUUUUGUGGGGUGCUCGAGUGGCGAACGGGUGAGUAACACGUGAGUAACCUGCCCUUGACUUUGGGAUAACUUCAGGAAACUGGGGCUAAUACCGGAUAGGAGCUCCUGCUGCAUGGUGGGGGUUGGAAAGUUUCGGCGGUUGGGGAUGGACUCGCGGCUUAUCAGCUUGUUGGUGGGGUAGUGGCUUACCAAGGCUUUGACGGGUAGCCGGCCUGAGAGGGUGACCGGCCACAUGGGGACUGAGAUACGGCCCAGACUCCUACGGGAGGCAGCAGUGGGGAAUAUUGCACAAUGGGCGGAAGCCUGAUGCAGCAACGCCGCGUGCGGGAUGACGGCCUUCGGGUUGUAAACCGCUGUCGCCUGUGACGAGGCGUGAGUGACGGUAAUGGGUAAAGAAGCACCGGCUAACUACGUG
Molecule: ribosomal RNA, 468 nt
Filed under: uncultured bacterium
Lineage: Bacteria
Description: partial 16S ribosomal RNA
Rfam family: Bacterial small subunit ribosomal RNA
Source: RNAcentral